UUGUAUAAUCGUGCUUUACAUGUUGGGUGUUCAUGUGCAUAUAGCUAGUAGUUGCUUUCUUACUUAUGCAAAUCAUGCUAAGUAGAGAUAUCAUGAUUAUUGGGUACUCGUUUAUUUAUUUACUUACAGUGCAUUUAUCGCUUUUGUUAUAGUUGUACACUGACCCUCUUUUAUAGUUUCGGGCCUAGUGGUGCAUUUCACUGAAG
Molecule: long non-coding RNA, 206 nt
Filed under: Ananas comosus (pineapple)
Lineage: Eukaryota; Viridiplantae; Streptophyta; Magnoliopsida; Poales; Bromeliaceae
Description: long non-coding RNA (ACOM_LNC042666)
Source: RNAcentral